This 465-nucleotide ribosomal RNA is filed under the name uncultured bacterium. RNAcentral's name for it is "partial 16S ribosomal RNA". It matches the Rfam family "Bacterial small subunit ribosomal RNA", at positions 28 to 507 of the family's 1533-position model. The record is from RNAcentral.
GACGAACGCUGGCGGCGUGCUUAACACAUGCAAGUCGAACGCUGAACCCGCUUCGGUGGGGGAUGAGUGGCGAACGGGUGCGUAACACGUGGGCAACCUGCCCCCGGCUCUGGGAUAACUCCAAGAAAUUGGGGCUAAUACCGGAUGUGACCGCUGGCCGCAUGGUCUGGUGGUGGAAAGGGUUUCCGGCUGGGGAUGGGCCCGCGGCCUAUCAGCUUGUUGGUGGGGUAGUGGCCUACCAAGGCGACGACGGGUAGCCGGCCUGAGAGGGUGACCGGCCACACUGGGACUGAGACACGGCCCAGACUCCUACGGGAGGCAGCAGUGGGGAAUAUUGCGCAAUGGGCGGAAGCCUGACGCAGCGACGCCGCGUGGGGGAUGACGGCCUUCGGGUUGUAAACCUCUUUCAGCAGGGACGAAGCGCAAGUGACGGUACCUGCAGAAGAAGCGCCGGCCAACUACGUG